This is a long non-coding RNA of Parasteatoda tepidariorum (common house spider), 1057 nucleotides long. Lineage: Eukaryota; Metazoa; Arthropoda; Arachnida; Araneae; Theridiidae. The record is from RefSeq and is a predicted model, not a curated record.
AUAAAGAAAAAAAACUUAAGAAAAUGUAAAAUUAUUUUUGACGAGUCUCAGAUAAUAGUUAAUAUUGAUUAGUAAGAAUUAGAAAAUAUGUUGGGUAGUCAUAAAUGGAAAUUGCUAAAAAACUACCCUUUUAUCCCCUAAUUUGUUCAAAUAUCAUUCAGUUUCUUACUUUUUUUAUUUUUUUAUUUCUGUCUGUAUACGUUUUGAACAAAUUGAAUAUAAUCAUUAAAUAUGAAAUAAUAAUAAAAUACUUAAGUAACGAAACAUUUCGUACAUAUAUCACAUUGCAAGAUUAAAAUUCAACGUGAUAUAAAUUUAUGUGAUUAUGUGACUAUAAUACGUUUAUAAGACUUUAAAAAUGUCAUUUCCUUCCGGGGAUAAAUUUUCGAUGUAUUUUACAAAGUAAAAAUGUAUCUUUCACAAAUUUAAUGAACACGCAUGUACUAUUCCAAUUUACAUUUAUAGCACAUGACUUAGAGAUUUAUUGGUGUGAUAAGUCAAUAUUUCAACUUUGAUGAAGUCAAAAUUCCAGAAAAGUAAACAAAAUAGUUUUGUAAUCAGUCUUAUAAACGUCAUGAAAAUAAAAUACAUGGUAUAAUGAUUUAUAGAGAGAAUUGUACAUAUGUAAAGGUAUUUCAUUUUGAUGUAAAUGUAGACAUAUAAAAGAGAUCACCGUCUGAAAUUCUAAUUAGAAGCUCGAAUACUUUUUCAAAUUUUGAAAAGAGCUUAUAACCAAUUUAUUCUAAAUGAUAUCUGACAUUUUAUCUUAUGUAACGCACGCAGUGCUUGCACUUUUUCUUUUAAUUUCAAUGGCAUUUGCACGUCCUUCCAGAGAAGAGGAUCAUCAUGUGGAGAACGAUGAGAGGUGGGGCUAAAUAUAUUGAAAGGACGUAUCUAUUUCUAUUCAUCCGAAUUGAGCAUGGUUUUUCUGAGAGUAUAUGAUUCUUCAUAUAUGAUGAUCCAGCUUUGUUACAAGAACAUUGAUUUCACGUGUAUAGAAAAGCAAUAAAUGUGCAAUUAAAAAAAUGUUUGAAGCAUCUUCUUUAUUUUCUCUUCU